Molecule: ribosomal RNA, 440 nt
Filed under: uncultured bacterium
Lineage: Bacteria
Description: partial 16S ribosomal RNA
Rfam family: Bacterial small subunit ribosomal RNA
Source: RNAcentral
CCUACGGGAGGCAGCAGUGGGGAAUAUUGCACAAUGGGGGAAACCCUGAUGCAGCGACGCCGCGUGAGUGAUGAAGUACUUCGGUAUGUAAAGCUCUAUCAGCAGGGAAGAAAAUGACGGUACCUGAGUAAGAAGCCCCGGCUAACUACGUGCCAGCAUCCGCGGUAAUACGGGGGGGGCAAGCGUUAUCCGGAUGUACUGGGUGUAAAGGGAGCGUAGACGGCAGUGCAAGUCUGGUGUGAAAGGGGGGGGCUCAACCCCCGGACUGCCCUGGAAACUGUAGGGCUGGAGUGCAGGAGAGGGAAGUGGAAUGCGUAGUGUAGCGGUGAAAUGCGUAGAUAGUAGGAGGAACACCAGUGGCGAAGGCGGCUUACGGGACUGUAACUGACGUUGAGGCUCGAAAGCGUGGGGAGCAAACAGGAUUAGAUACCCGAGUAGUC